Molecule: ribosomal RNA, 497 nt
Filed under: uncultured bacterium
Lineage: Bacteria
Description: partial 16S ribosomal RNA
Rfam family: Bacterial small subunit ribosomal RNA
Source: RNAcentral
GAUGAACGCUGGCGGCGUGCCUAAUACAUGCAAGUCGAGCGAACGGACAAGAAGCUUGCUUCUCUGAUGUUAGCGGCGGACGGGUGAGUAACACGUGGAUAACCUACCUAUAAGACUGGGAUAACUUCGGGAAACCGGGGCUAAUACCGGAUAAUAUUUUGAACCGCAUGGUUCAAAAGUGAAAGACGGUCUUGCUAUCACUUAUAGAUGGACCCGCGCUGCAUUAGCUAGUUGGUAAGGUAACGGCUUACCAAGGCAACGAUGCAUAGCCGACCUGAGAGGGUGAUCGGCCACACUGGAACUGAGACACGGUCCAGACUCCUACGGGAGGCAGCAGUAGGGAAUCUUCCGCAAUGGGCGAAAGCCUGACGGAGCAACGCCGCGUGAGUGAUGAAGGUCUUCGGAUCGUAAAACUCUGUUAUUAGGGAAGAACAUAUGUGUAAGUAACUGUGCACAUCUUGACGGUACCUAAUCAGAAAGCCACGGCUAACUACGUG